GACGAACGCUGGCGGCGUGCUUAACACAUGCAAGUCGAACGGAAAGGCCCUGCUCUUGCGGGGUGCUCGAGUGGCGAACGGGUGAGUAACACGUGAGUAACCUGCCCCUGACUUUGGGAUAACUCCAGGAAACUGGGGCUCAUACCGGAUAGGAGCUCCUGCUGCACGGUGGGGGUUGGAAAGUUUCGGCGGUUGGGGAUGGACUCGCAGCUUAUCAGCUUGUUGGUGGGGUAGUGGCUUACCAAGGCUUCGACGGAUAGCCGGCCUGAGAGGGUGACCGGCCACAUUGGGACUGAGAUACGGCCCAGACGCCUACGGGAGGCAGCAGUGGGGAAUAUUGCGCAAUGGGCGGAAGCCUGAGGCAGCAACGCCGCGUGCGGGAUAACGGCCUUCGAGUUAUAAACCGCUUUCGCCUGUGACGAGGCGUGAGUGACGGUAAUGGGUAAGGAAGCACCGGCUAACUACGUG
RNAcentral lists this ribosomal RNA (468 nucleotides) under uncultured bacterium. RNAcentral's name for it is "partial 16S ribosomal RNA". It matches the Rfam family "Bacterial small subunit ribosomal RNA", at positions 28 to 507 of the family's 1533-position model. The record is from RNAcentral.